GUUUUAAUAGUUUAAAAAAAACGCCGGUCUUGUAAAUCGAAGUUGAGAACCCCCCUUCUUAAAACU
RNAcentral lists this transfer RNA (66 nucleotides) under Copiocera sp. OR333. RNAcentral's name for it is "tRNA-Thr". It matches the Rfam family "tRNA". Rfam says of the family: Transfer RNA (tRNA) molecules are approximately 80 nucleotides in length. Their secondary structure includes four short double-helical elements and three loops (D, anti-codon, and T loops). The record is from RNAcentral. Lineage: Eukaryota; Metazoa; Arthropoda; Insecta; Orthoptera; Acrididae.